Long non-coding RNA from Lotus japonicus, 1186 nucleotides. RefSeq lists it as uncharacterized. NCBI's taxonomy places the organism in Eukaryota, Viridiplantae, Streptophyta, Magnoliopsida, Fabales, Fabaceae. The transcript is spliced from 2 exons. The record is from RefSeq and is a predicted model, not a curated record.
UUUUUAAAACUGGUUUGGAUAAUAAACCUUUUAAGGUGGAUAUGGUUUGGUUUGGUUUGGUUAAGAACCAAACCAUGAACACCCCUACUUCUCACUCACGAUUCUCUCCCUCUUUCUCCCACAAAAGAAAAAUAUCUCUCUUUCUUUUAUUAUUCUGAUUUCUUUCUCUAAAAAACAAAAGCUGCAGAACACUUUCUCUGAACCUUGUCUGCAACUUCUCUUCUUCCUCCUCACCAUUUUCUUCUUCCCAACAUGUCUGGAACAACACCACCACCACGAGCCAAAACCGCGAGCACCACCACCUCCAUGCCUCCUUCACGCAGCAACCACCACUGUCCCUGUUCUGUUUUUUUUUCCCUCUCCAUGAGAGCCACCACCAAAACCCUAGCCGCCACCUUGUUCCUCCGAUCUCCGGCGAACCAUUAAGUUUUUGGAGAAACCAACACCACCACUGAACUCCCCUCAUCAUCCGCAAUAAAACCCCUCCAUCAAUUCGAUGAUCGGCCACCGCGACUCCGGCGACCGCCGCCGCCGCCGUCUUCUCCGGCGAGCUUUGUUAUGAGAAAGGAGGCCAAUUUCUUGAAGCUCUCAACCUCCUCUUCCUGAAUCCAAGGCCCAAUCAUCAGUAAGAGCCAUGAGGUUCACUAGCAGAGAGGGGAAACACGACCAGACCAAAGGAUUGAAGCUCAGUCCCAUGACCAUGAGACUUGAGGUAGAAGGAGGAGGACAUGAACACUAUGAGUUUAAAAAGCUUUGUGUGAUUUAUGAUGGACUGGAAAAAUUUCAUCUUUAAAACAAAUAAAAUCAGCUUCUGUACAAUCUUUUGAUAAUAGGUUGCCAUUGUAAUGGUUCAUAUUUUUCUUCUCUUUUUAAAAGUCAAAAGUGUACUUAGAGUACUGUCAUGUGGAUAAAAGCUUUGUUUUUCAAAUAUAAGGCAGAUUUGAAUUGAAGGAUUAAAGUCUAUCUUUUAGAUUAAUUGCUUGGGGUGAUACCGUUUGACUUGUUUUAGUCCUACUAAUGUAGGAGAGCAUAAGUAUAUGGGAAAGAAAUUAAAAUCCUUAAACUUUUUGAACACACAAAUUAUAAACUAAACUCUGACUUAGUGGCAUAUGCGCGUGAAUUAUUUAACCCCAUCCCUCUAUAUACUGUAUACUAAUUUGGAGAAUGAAGAUGUUUUAAUCCUUAA